UACAGCAUACAAAUAACACUGAUCCUGGCAUGUCCCAUGGAUCUGAAGAACUUCCCGAUGGACGUCCAGACCUGCAUCAUGCAACUGGAGAGCUUCGGAUACACCAUGAACGACCUGGUGUUCGAGUGGGAUGAGAAGGGAGCCGUGCAGGUGGCCGACGGCCUGACGCUACCUCAGUUUCUGCUCAAAGACGAGAAGGACCUGCGCUACUGCACCAAGCACUACAAC
Long non-coding RNA from Notothenia coriiceps (black rockcod), 228 nucleotides. RefSeq lists it as uncharacterized. Lineage: Eukaryota; Metazoa; Chordata; Actinopteri; Perciformes; Nototheniidae. The transcript is spliced from 3 exons. The record is from RefSeq and is a predicted model, not a curated record.